UUUUUUUCUUCUCAUUUUGGGUUUUUCUUCUAGAGGUAAAUCUGUGAAGCAGGCUGAAUCCAUCUCUAGCAUCGCUGAACCAUGCUGGAUGGGCACAAAUGUGCACACAUAGAGAGAGGUUCUGUUUUGUCACCUCUAAUGUUAUUACCUGCCCCCGAAGUACCCACUGAAGCUGUGCACAUUACGUCAUACCUUUGUUCACUUCUUCUUAUACCCCUCCAAAACACAUCCCCCCAAAAAUGUAUCUGUCCAGGAGAGAAUCCUCUGACUUUCUCAUGAGUCUAAUUCAGGCAUGCAGUAAGUUAAAAGAAGAAUCCAGUUCAAUGAGUUUAUCUGAGAAAUGCAACGAUUUAAUUAUUUAAUCCAUCUGGAAUUUAUUAUUUUACUAUGCAGUAAAAAUAGAGAAAAGAUGGAAAGCUACCCAAUUUGUCACAGAAAUUCACUUUUACCCUGAUAUAAAACAAACAAGAAAAUACUACAUAAACGUAUGUAGUACCAAUUGCCCUAUGCGUUCAAAACCCUUUGUAAAAGACUUGCAAAACAAUUCAAUUCAAACUACAUCAGAAGUGAAAUUUUGCUGUCUAUUAAGAUGGUUGUGUGUUUUAUCUUGAGCAUAGAGAAUAGAAGCAGGGAAAGAAAGAGUUUGGAAAAAUACCAGGAUAUAUUAAGAGCUCCUUCAAGUGUCUGGUAUGAAGCAGGCAGUCUAGGGAUGUUGAGACCAUCCAAGGCCCCAGGGAAGACCUCUGCCAGCCUCCUAGAGAAAUGCCAAGGAGCUUCCCAAAGGGUGCUGGGACCCAGAGGCAGAUGGGAUACUGAUUUGGCUCAUGCUAAAUCAGUAUGUUUGUUAGGGGAGGUAAGCUCAAGACAGAUUGCCAUGAUGGGGGUGGAAGGCUCCAAACCUCAGGCAGCUGGGUCCAAAGAGCAUCAUCAUCACUUGGUGAGGCCACAUGACCUCCUGCUGACUGGGGCUGCCUCCGCUCUCUCUCUACCUCAAUCCAUGCUCCACACCACUAUCCACAUGAGCUUUCUGAGGUGAAAAUUCCAGCAUGCUACUCCCCUGAGUCAAAUAUCUCAAUAGCUCUCUGUCACCAACACACAGAGGUUAAAUGAUUUUAGUUAUUUAUUUAUUCAGAGAACAGGUCUCACUCUGUCACCACAGACUGGAGUGCAGUGGCACCAUCAUAACUCACUACAGCCUCGACCUCCCCAGCUCAAGUGAUCCUCCUGCCUCAGUGUCUGGAGUAGCUGGGACCACAGAUGCAUGCCACCAUGCCUGGCUAACUGUUCUACAUGUUUUUAUAGAGACAGGGUCUCACUGUGUACCCCAGGCUGGUCUCAAACUCUUGGCCCCAAGUGAUCCACCUGCCUCUGCCUCCCAAAGUGUUGGGAUUACAGGUGUGGGGCAGCACACCCAACCUAAUGGUUUUAUAAGAGUUCUGACUAGUGGGGACACCAUGCUCUCCACAUACCUUACAAGACAUAUCUACCCAAUGCGGGCCCAAUUCCACAAUGAGGCACAACGGGUCUUCACGACCUGGCCUCUGCUCAAGCUUUUAGAACCCUUUUUGCCAUCUCUCUCCUGUAGCCUGUUCUCUAAAACCAUUUUCAGUUUCUUGAACAUGCCCUGCUCUUUCUUAUCUCUGUGCCUUGCCAUAUGCAACCCUCUCGGCCUAAAGUUCCCAGCCUGAAUUAGGCUCUCUCUGCUGUUGGUAGUGCAGCUGUCUGGUCUGGACAGCUGGCAUAGUACUUAUUGUAAUGAAUUGGCUAUUGAUCCACCUCCCCUUCUAGAUUGGGAAUCCUCCAAGGGCAUGUUUUAUCCACUUUUGUGUUUCCAGUUCUAAUGCAGUGUCUAAAACAUGAUUGAUGUUCAAUAGGGUUUGGUGUAAUUUAUUAUGUCCAACAUUUACCUCCUUCCCCAAAAGACCUCAUGGUAUUGUUAGGGAAGACAGAAUGGUGUUAAUUCCCAAAGAACUAAGACCUUGAUGGGAAAAAAAAGGGUAAAAAGCUGUGGGGUUUCCAAAUAGGAAAUCCUAUCAGUUGCUCUACAUUUAUCAGCUUAGCCCAUUCAUUCAUUUAUUCAUUCAUUCAUUCAUUCAUUCAUUCAUUCAUUCAUUCAUUUUUGAACAAAAUCUAUUGAAUACUCUAGCGGUCAAGAUCAUUUAAAUUAUCCUGCAGUAACAAAUAACUCCAAAGUGGCAAACAUUCAGAACAACAAAUGCUUAUUUGUCACUUAGGCUACAUUUCCAGCAUGAGUUAGUGGGAGGGCAACACUCCAUACCCCAUCUCACAACUUUGCAGGCCUGGAGCACACGACCUUCUGGUGUGCAAGGGAAGAGCUGGUGGUGGAGGGUCUCUCAUCAGCUCUGUUAGGCUUCAACCUAGAAGUGACACUCAUCCCUUCUGCUCCCCAGCUGGUCGAUCGGAUGAGUCACAUGGCACCACCUAACAACAUGGAGGCUGGGAAACGUGGGCAGCUAAGAGCAAAUAUUUGGUAAGUAGCACUCGCCCUGCCUUGAGCUUCUACCAUGUUCAAGAUAUCAAGCUAAGCACUGAGGACAAAAUAAACAGACAUGUCCUCCAUUUUCUCCCUCAAGGAGUUCAUAGUCAACUGGGUGAUCGAAAGUUUAAGCAUGGACUUAAAAAUUAUCAGGCAGAUGUUCUGUCAGGCUUCUCAACACCUUCUCAGUAAUAAGCCGACCCCAGUGAGCCAAGUUUCAGAACCAAGCUCGUGAGAGUCCCAUGCAUUCAAUUCAGCCUCUUCAGUACAACACCCAGAUUUGCACAUUAACCCUUAAGGUGCAUUAGGACUGUGAAUUGUCAGCCUAGAUCCUGAGAAGGAUCAGGCUCUUUAUUUCUUCUUUUUCUUUCUUUCUAUUUUUUUUUUUGUCAGCCUCUUCGCCGCAACUCCCAACCCUCCGCCCACUUUAGAUGCAGGAUUCUGCUGUGAUUCCUCAUCUUCUCCUCUCUUCCCUUCUUCUCUAAGCAAGCUAUAAUCUUCUUUUUAUUUUUUUAACAGGAAUGUAUUUCUUGCCUAUUUCUCUGCACAAGGUAGGUGACAGCCUAAUAUAAAAUCAAAGUUUUGUAUUAUCUGGAGAGGCUGAGAAUAAAACCAAAUCCUCCUCUCAUGUCAGGAAACUUCCAGCUUUGAAGACUCAAGGAUAUCAUGACAGAAAGUCAAAAGUGCCCUAAAAAUGUAUAAAUAGACAUUUCUAAGUUUGAAUCCUAGUAUCCAUAUUGAGGCACAUCCCAAUGAAUUGCUUACCAUCUUUCUCCUCUUUUAUUUUCCCUGCAGCCUCCCACCCUCACCCUCUGUCAAUUGCCAGGUGACCUUCUGCUAUCGCAAGUGAUUCAGGUCCUCCAUCAAUGACUGAACUUCCAGACAGUCUCUUGUUUCAUAUCCAAGAAACCCCCCCUUUCCUCCCCCCCAAAAAACUACCUGUCCUGAGUCCCCUUUCUCCUCAGAUGACCUGUGCAUAAAAGGAACGAGGAGCACCGGCCUGGCCAACUGGUCGAACACCGAGAGGUAAAAGAUUAUGUGUGGGGAUCCAGGGCCCAGAGCAGCUCUAGGUAAGGAAAGGGAGGUCUGGCCAAGCCAAGCAGCCAGCUGGCUCUCUUGGCCACACAUUCCCAUCAGCUCUUCAUCAUGUACUGGUCUGGGAGAUGAAUGUGCUUGGAAGUCAUGGGGUGAAGAAAAUAAAGACCACAGAGGGGCUGCCUUGUGUUUCUCCUAUAUCAGCAACGGACACAAAGAUGGCUAUGGGAUCAAGAGCCACAGAUAGAGAUUUUUUUCUCCACUGUCAACCUCCUCUUUAAACAUUCCCCCUUUCCCAUAUAUGCAUUGAAUGUUAUGCCCUGUCAAUGGGCAAUUGUGUUUUCAGAAAGAGCUGCUCAGAAAGAACCUUGGGUAAUACAAAGGAAUGAAUGCUGGUGGCUGAAUUUCAGGUAUCUGUGAUUCUGUUGGUGAGAAAUAUAUUUUCAUGACUGCGGACCUCCCAGCAAGUCUAAAAGCAUACUGCAUAGGCUUAGGCAGCUGGCCUUACCCUGUCAGGUAGCACAUCUGAGGUUGCCACUGAAUGCAAAACCAUGAAACUAGUAUUUUGGUACAGUGUAUAGGGAAAACACAGCUCAUGAUGAGCUUAUGAUUUACAUGGGGAAAAAAGAAAGUUGCAGCCAGUUACUGGGGAUGUUUAAAGAGCAAGCGUAAGAGCUGAUAAGUGUGUAAAUCUCACUGCUCAAGUGAAUAGUGAUGUGAAAUGAAAAUAAUUCACAUAGCCUUUAAGAAGUUACUCAACUUUCUGGGUCACGCCUGUAAUCCCAGCACUUUGGGAGGCCGCAGAUCACGAGGUCAGGAGAUCGAGACCAUCCUGGCUGACACGGUGAAACCCCGUCUCAACUAAAAAUACAAAAAAUUAGCCGGGUGUGGUGGUGGGCGCCUGUAGUCCCAGCUACUCAAGAGGCUGAGGCAGGAGAAUGGCGUGAACCCGGGAGGCGGAGCUUGCAGUGAGCUGAGAUCGCGCCACUGCACUCCAGCCUGGGUGACAGAGCGAGACUCCGUCUCAAAAAAAAAAAAAAAAAAAGAAAGAAAAGAAGUUACUUAACUUUCCUGACUCAAACGUUCUGGAGAUUAUUCAAGUUGGAUACAACUUUAGAAAUUAUUCUUUUUAUUUUUUGAGGUGGAGUCUCACUCUGUUGCCAGGCUGGAGUGCAGUGGCGUGAUUUCAGCUCACUGCAACCUCUGCCUGCCCGGUCAACAUAGGGAUCAUCCACAAGAAGUGGUCGUGCAACCUCUCUUGAGCACACUCAGAGAUGGGCGUUUGUUGCUUUGUAAGCCACCUAUUCCACUGGAGAAUUAUUACAAUCGAUUAUCACACUGUUACUUUACCAACACCUAUGCCUCUAACUUGGUCAUCUUCAUCCUUUUGAGACAUUCAGGUAAACACGGAAGAUCUAAUAACCUAAAAGCACUGUAGGAGAUGGCAUGGUCGUCAGGUAAGGCCUGGGAGAAGUGGGCAGCAGUCUCAAUAUUUCCCCAGCACCCUCCAGCAGCUGCCCUCUCAUCAAUUGUCCUCCAUGUUACCAGCUCAUUUUCUCUUAUUCUCUCUGUUUUCUUAGUGUCAUCCACAGACACUAAACUAUGUGUCACUACAUUAAAAUUCCUUUUCAUAAGUGCUCAGUUUUUCCUCUUCCUCUUCCCUUCUUUACAGAUCAUAGCCCUCUGUGCUACAAUAAAGAGAUACUAAAAUACAAUUAACUUAAAUAUGAUGGUUUCUUUCUGUCUCACGGAGCAGUCUAGUGCCAGUCUUGGCUAGCAGAGCAACUCUUCUGCUCCACAAGCUCACUCAGGGACCCAGGUUUCUUUCCUUUCAUACUUCUUGGUGGUCCAAGCUGAGCUAACACAGUCAGCAUUCCAGAACACAAGGAGCCCGAGGAGAGACUCCAAAGGCACUGCUUUUGAUUUGGGUAGGCAAAGCUGGAACUGCACAUGUCAAUUCCACUCACCUCCAUUGGUGAGAGUGGAGUCACAAGGCCCUGCCUCACCACCGGAAAGGCUGGGAAAUGUAGUUUCCAGUGGGAUGGAUGCAUGUCCAGGAAGAAAGGGCAAAGAGACGUUGGAGCUUUGGAGGAACAGUUACCAGUAUGCCACACCACAUUUUCUAUAUACUUUUUCCUUCUUUUUCUUUCCUUUCUCGCUUCUUUAUUUUCCUUAUCCCUUUCUCUUUUCUUUCUCUCUGGACUAGCCAUAAUAUGGAAAGUGUAUGUAUGUGUAUAUAUCUACAUAAACACACACAGUAUGUAUAGAGAGAGCAUAUAUAUAUAUAUAUUUAUGUAUAUAUACAGUCAUAUAGAUAUAUAUAUGCUUUUUCUGUAUACACAUACACACACACACACACACACACACACACACACGCUGAAUUGGAAGAGCCUGAGAGGCACCUGCAGCCUGCGGAGAGGAAAUGCCACCCACACAGUACUUCCCUGAGUCCAUUCUUUCUCUGCUCCUCGGCCUGUGGUUUUGUCUUUCAUGCAGGCCUCCCUUCCCCACAGAUCCCAGGUGCAAAGAAGGUGGGACUUCUGUCAGUUCUAAGCUGUGUGCUCAGCUUGUGAGUGAAUGGGCUCAAGACUCACACUGUGACAGGAGGGAAGGAGCACAAAGGGAAGAAUCAUCCCUCCCUCUGCACUCACUCUCUGCAUUGUCACUGGCGGGCUUGAUCCCCUGCCAUUCAUCCUAACAGCAGCCAGGCUCAACCAUCUGACAGAAUCUGCUCAUGCUCUUAUGAGCCUAAUCCCUUGGGUCAAAGAGGCAGUUCCUAUCACUGAAAUAUCAGAAACGAAAUAGACCAGGAAUUGCCAAAGAGAGGGAUUAUAGAAUCCAACUUGGAAAUUCAGGCAGUGGGAAAGAAGUUAGUCACGUUCCAGCUAUUAUGCAUGCAACAAAUGUCUGAUAUUUUUUAAAAUUUGUUUUGGAGGGUGGUAGGGAAUGGAGUACAAAGAUGAUUUCUUUUUAAAUUCUUCAAAAUGUUACCUUCAUAAAGAAUGAACAAAUGUCAGGGACAGGCACAUCUUGGACUGAACUUCAAGUGAACUGAUGGCAGGCCUCACCGUUCUGAAAAUAUAAAAAUUGAAAGCUGCCAGGGCUCAGAGCAGACCAUGCAUUUGCAUCCUAUUUAAAUAAUGUGCAAGAAUCUUUGGUUGAAUGAGGAGUUUUUAGCCUUGUCAGAGAACUUUGGAAGUACUUAGAAUGGAACUGCCAAGGAUACCCAUGGGCCAUGUCACGCGACAGCUUGAAACCAGCCCAAAUGCCCUCAAGGAGACAUUCCCAAACCUGCGAGAGAAGAGCCUUCUGCAUUUCCACGGCAAGCAAGGUACACCUGUCAGAAACUUUCUCUAGGUGCAUCUGGUCUAAAGAGUAGUACUUUCUGGUGCUUGAAUUAUGAGACAGAAUCUCCUCUUGCCAUCUGCCAGGGUAGUUCAGCUGCUGAGAUUCACAUUUUUGCCAAACAGUUCCUACAGUCUAGGGCCUAGGGUUCUGCCCUGGUAUGUUCUCUAUCUGCACUGAUAUCCUGGGUUUACCUACAGGGAACCAAAGGUCACUCAAAGCCCUGAAAGAUAACAGAAUAAGUGUGUGUAAAGAAAAUCACACACCAUAACCAUCAUGUAGUGUAUGCUCAGUCAACAUUCACUGAGAGAGUUAAAAGGAAAACUAGAGAAUCCUGUCUUUGAAAAAGUAUGAUCCUCUUGGGUCAGUGGCCAGGCCAUAUGGAACUCUACAAAGCGGAAUUAAUUCUACAUACUAGAUAUACAAAGCAACCAUUUAUUAUUACCAAAUUCAACUUGUAACCUGAGAUAAGGUCAUCUGGAUGACCCAGGUAGGGGAAAAACAUAGAAGAAUUACUGUCAAUUCUGAUGUGUAUUAAAGGCAAUGUUGUUUUGUUUUGUGUAUACCCUGAUCACUGCAUAACCCACACCUCCUCAAACGGUUUGGAAAACUUCCUGAUGAAUUGGCCCCCACGCAUCAGGACUGAAGAAAAGUUUUCUGUUAGGAGUGUUAGGAGUGUGCCUGGAAGAAAAAGAACACCCCUUGUCUAUAGAGAUAAAUCAUUUCCAUCAAUAAAUGGACUUUGGUGGCAGAUUAAAGAUGGCUUCAAAUUAUAGGACACUCCUGCUAUUGAGCAAUGGCCUCUAUUUCCCCUUCUCUGAGUUGAGGUGGCCUGUGGCUACUUUGACCAGUAGAGCGUGGUGGAAGUGAUGCUAUGCUACUUUGGGGACUGGCAGGUCCUGCCUUGGUCUUCAGGCCCUGAGCUGCCCUGUGAAAGAUCCAACUACACUGCUAGAGAGACACUUUGGGGCUCAAAGAGAGGCAGAAGGACCAGGUGAGCCCAGCAGUCCAGCUGUCCCACCAAGGCCCCAGGUGAAUGAGUGAAGCCGUCAGAUGCUCCAGGCCAGUCCAGCUGCCAGCUGAACGCCACUGAAUGACCCCAGCCAAUGCCACAUGGAGCAGAACAAUUGACCAGCCAAUUCCUGCUCAAUGUCUUCACCCACAAAGGACUCAUAAAGACUGGCUAUAGUUUUAAAUCCAUUAAGUUUUAAAGUUUUCACACAGCCAUAGAUAACCUGAAAACCAUAUGUAUGGUUAUAAAAUUGAAUUAGCAUGAAGUGAUAAAUUAUGAAUCUCCUACAGCCAUAGGGACCAUCUUUUUCUAUUUUCAGAGCAGGGGAUGAUCUGGUGGGUUUGAGAGAGGCAGAGACAAACUGUUCUAGAAAGUUGGAGAUAUUGGAUCACCAAAACUAAAAUAAAUAGCAUUGAGUUCAGGCACCCAGUGAGGAAGUACUGCUCCAGGAGCAGACCUAGGUCUUGCUGUGUCCCUCUGUGACUGCAGCAGGCUCCGCCCCCCUCCACACUCCCUCGGGCUUGCAGUUCCUCCUGGCUCCCUGGAAUAUCAGCAUCCGCAGUCCUUCUUUAAGAGGCAGCCAGCAGGAACGCCUCCCUUGCUUCUGCGCCUCCCUUGAUGGGGAGGAGCCACCAAGGCUACCAGCUGCUGGCCUCCUGAGUGACAAAACCAGCAGCCAUAUUAGAGUGAAGAGGCCUGGUUGUGGAGGGCUGUGCGCUCAGCGUGGAAUUAUAGCAGUUCAUUUUCUAAAGUGCCACGAGACCUGGGGAUGAACCUUCCGAGAGAAGGGAAAACCACAACAGCAGUCCCCUCGUAGAGAUGCAAUUCAUCAUGGGCAGGACGGCUGGGUCUGUCAACAGGAAGGGCUCUUUUCCCUGUGACGCACAAAAGCAAUCCCACGGGCUCUGUGUUGCAGCAAGAGGACCCUGAACUCCCUCAGACACCCUGGCUGUGUGCAGGGAGCCUCCGAAAUCCAGAGACGGGAGGCAUGCAUCGCCAUCGUUUCCUGUCCAAAACAAGCACUGGGGAUUCUGAGGAACCUCUGAGGAGCACCCUGCCUUUACUUGCAGUUCUUCCAGAGAGAUGUUGGAGCUGACAACUGGAGACAAUAUGGCUUGGUGACAACAUCAUAAAAGGUAUGCCAAUGAAAUGUGUAUAUGUCUCCUCAGCUUAUGCAUGCAUGUGCACACGCACAAGGCUAGAAUGAG
This is a long non-coding RNA of Homo sapiens (human), 9097 nucleotides long. RefSeq lists it as uncharacterized. Lineage: Eukaryota; Metazoa; Chordata; Mammalia; Primates; Hominidae. The transcript is spliced from 3 exons. The record is from RefSeq and is a predicted model, not a curated record.